Molecule: long non-coding RNA, 790 nt
Filed under: Nicotiana tabacum (common tobacco)
Lineage: Eukaryota; Viridiplantae; Streptophyta; Magnoliopsida; Solanales; Solanaceae
Description: long non-coding RNA (NTAB_LNC018919)
Source: RNAcentral
AAAAGGACAAGUUGUGGAUUAAGUGGGUACACACUUUUUUUUUAUAAAACGCAGGGACAUAAUUGAUAUGGAUGCAAAGAAUGCCUCGUGGACUAAUAUGCAGGGAGAUUGCAAUUAAUUAAAAGUGUGCUCAUAGCCAUACAGUCUUAUUGGUCUCAAAUAUUCCUGUCGCCUAAGGUCAUAAACAAGAUUGAAGCUAUAUAUAGGACCUUUCUCUGGACGGGUAAUACAGAAGUAAAAAAGAAGGCAUUGGUGUCUUGGAACCAACUGUGUCUACCUAAGACAUCUAGGGGAAUGAAUAUCAUUGAUAUACAAAUAUGGAAAAGAACUGCAAUUCUAAAACACUACUGGAAUUUGUCUAAAAAAAGGACAAGUUGUGAAUUAAGUGGGUACACACUUUUUAUAUAAAAAUCAGGGACAUAAUUGAUAUGGAUGCAAAGAAUCCCUCGUGGACUAAUAUGCAGGGAAGUUGCAAUUAAUUAAAAGUGUGCUCAUAGCCAUAGAGUCUUAUUGGCCUCAAAUAUUCCUGUUGCCUAAGAAGGCCAUAAACAAGAUUGAAUCUAUAUGUAGGACCUUUCUCUGGACGGGUAAUACAUAAGUAAAAAAGAAGGCAUUGGUGUCUUGGAACCAACUGUGUCUACCUAAGACAUUUUGGGGAAUAAAUACCACUGAUAUAUAAAUAUGGAACAUAACUGCAAUUCUGAAACGCUAAUGGAAUUUGUCUAAAAAAAGGAUAAGUUGUGGAUUAAGUGGGUACACACUUUUUAUAUAAAAAGCAGGGACAUAAUUG